Molecule: transfer RNA, 73 nt
Filed under: Neodangemannia microcystis
Lineage: Eukaryota; Viridiplantae; Chlorophyta; Ulvophyceae; Oltmannsiellopsidales; Oltmannsiellopsidaceae
Description: tRNA-Gly
Rfam family: tRNA
About the family: Transfer RNA (tRNA) molecules are approximately 80 nucleotides in length. Their secondary structure includes four short double-helical elements and three loops (D, anti-codon, and T loops). Further hydrogen bonds mediate the characteristic L-shaped molecular structure. tRNAs have two regions of fundamental functional importance: the anti-codon, which is responsible for specific mRNA codon recognition, and the 3' end, to which the tRNAs corresponding amino acid is attached (by aminoacyl-tRNA synthetases). tRNAs cope with the degeneracy of the genetic code in two manners: having more than one tRNA (with a specific anti-codon) for a particular amino acid; and 'wobble' base-pairing, i.e. permitting non-standard base-pairing at the 3rd anti-codon position.
Source: RNAcentral
GCGAGUGUAGUUCAGUGGUCAGAACGCGAUCCUUCCAAGUUCGAUGUCCGGGGUUCGAGUCCCCGCACUCGCU